ACACUGAACCACAGCCUGACACUUAAUGGAGACCCUCACAGGCAGGAAAGACACUCAGGGAGAGAUCGACUACCUGAGAACAGUCACACACGUCACACGUGCAUGUGUGAGAAAAUCAAUCGAAUGAAGCCGAGCGAAGCUCCAAAGUACAAUAAACAAAACUAAAGCUCUCUGAUCAAUAAGCGGGAGCGGAGCUGCGUGCAGAGAGCGAGCUGACAGGCGGUGGGAGGGUGUAAGUUGAUUAUCUGCGAGCUCGGGGAUUAUCCCUCGUCAUUCUUCCUCUGUGGUGAACCCUCAUCACCUGGAGAAGACGUCACCCAACACACAGAGCUCACCUGCACAGACUGCUAUCAAGGAUUCAUCAUCUGAGCAAGGCAGUGUGUUUGUCAGUCAUAUCACAGAGAGCACAGCUGUCCCAAACCUGCCAGCGUCACCUGACAUCUUCAUCCGGGCAGCCUCCACCCGAAACCCUCCACCCAUCCCAGUCACCUUGAUCAGGAGGGAGAUCACAUAUCAGGGACCAGUGAAGCUCUUCCUGACUGCAAAGAUUCUGUGGAUAUGACUAUUCUGUUUAAUUAUAUUUUAAUUCUUUUGAACUUUACCAAUAAAAAUCAUAAAAAAUUAAUAAAAUAUGAAUAAAAUAAAAAAGAAAUGAAAAGGAAGGAUCCAUUGGCAAAUAAUCUCACCAUAUGAAAAUGUAUAAAAAUGGAAAAUUUUCAUUGUGUAAUAAUAAGAAUAAGUGUUUUACUGUCAGUUUCAUGGGAGUAAAUACAGUUUCUCUACAGGGAAAUAAGCCAUGUGUUUGUGUUCACUGCUGCAGUGAACUGUUAGGACCAUGUUUGAUGACAUCAUGUCACAUGGGCACAGAGAGCAAUGUUUAGUCUCCUCACAACUACAGCUACAGCUGCUGUUGCUGGUGUCACAGGGUCAGGCCGACUACUACUAAUAAACACAAAGGACAGCUGAGGCUGAGAGUAAUAUGCUUACAUUUACAGGUAUUUCCUUGUAGACCAAAGUAUUCAGCCAGUUUGAUUUAUCUAGAUGAGAAGGUGAAGCUCCAUCCAGUGUAAAGGUCUGUGUGAUUAUAGAUCAGGUCUAGGUUCUAUAUUAUAUAUAUAUUUUAUAUAUCAGGGCUUCUGGAACUUUGUGAUGUCAUAACAAAGCAGUCACCAAGCCCCGCCCAC
Molecule: long non-coding RNA, 1184 nt
Organism: Seriola aureovittata
Lineage: Eukaryota; Metazoa; Chordata; Actinopteri; Carangiformes; Carangidae
Exons: 3
Source: RefSeq, a predicted model, not a curated record